Molecule: long non-coding RNA, 1165 nt
Filed under: Homo sapiens (human)
Lineage: Eukaryota; Metazoa; Chordata; Mammalia; Primates; Hominidae
Description: long intergenic non-protein coding RNA 2882
Source: RNAcentral
CCUUUCUUCAAGUCGCAUUGACGUAAGAAGAGUUGUAUUUUUAUAGAAAGAAAAUAUUUUGCCUAAUCGCCUUCAAAGGAGCCUUGUACACAAUCUCUAGAGGAGAGUGUGCACAGAGGAGAGAUCAUGUGAGGACACAGCGAGAAGACAAUCAUCUGUAAGCCAAGGAGAGAGGCCUCAGAAAAAAAUCCACCCUGCUAAGAGCUUGAUCUUGGACUUACAGCCUCCAGGACUAUCUCAAAUUAACAGCCCAUUAUUAUGGAAGUUCUUUAUUGAUCGCCAAAAUGGGUUAGGUAUACCUGUUAUACUCUGUUUUUCUACAAAUGGAAAGUUUGUGGCAUCCUUGACUCAAGCAAAUUUUUCAGCACCAUUUUUCAAGAGCGUGUGCUCACUUCACCUCUCUGUAUCGUGUUUUGAUGCUUGUCCUGGAAACCAACCAUGAGCUGUGAUGAAAUCCAGGCAACUGAGUUGUGUUUCAGCCCAAAGCAGCAAAUGGAAUCCAGCUUCAGGACCAUCAUCUGACAUAGGGGAAGAAGACUUACAUAGAAGGCCUAACCAGCACCCAAGAUCAUUAAUGAUUAAAGGGUAAAUUAACCAGGAAGACAUAGCAACUGUAAAUGUUUGUGUAGACACAUUUACAUGAACCAAAAUUUGACAGAAUUAAGGCUCAUAGGUGGAGGAGACUUGCUUUGUCUCAGAUGAGACUUUGGACUGUGGACUUUUGAGUUAAUGCUGAAAUGAGUUGAGACUUUGGGGAACUGUUGGGAAGGCAUGAUUGGUUUUAAAUAUGAAUAUAUGAGAUUUGGGAGGGGGUCAGGGGUGGAAUGAUAUGGUUUGGCUCUGUGUCCCCACCCAAAUCUCAUCUUGUAGCUCCCAUAAUCCUCCCAUGUUGUGGGAGGGACCCAGUGGGAGAUGAUUGAAUCAUGAGGGCGGGUCUUUCUCAUGCUGUUCAUGAUCCCAUUCAUGUGAGAAAGACCCAUGUGAUCAUGAAUGGGUCUCACAAGAUCUGAUGGUGUUAAAAAUGGGAGUUUCUCUGCACAAGCUCUCUGCCUGCUGCCAUUCACAAAGGAUGUGACUUGCUUCUCCUUGCCUUCUGCUAUGAUUGUGAGGCCUCCCUAGCCAUGUGGAACUGUGAGUCCAAUUAAACCUCUUUCUUUUGUAAAUU